CUCUUUGACCAUAUGAGCAAUAGUUCUUAUAUUCUCUAGACCUCCCUCUAAUGGGGUACCAUUAACCAUCCAAUAUUCCUUUGUUGGUAUGAGCAGUUGGGUUUUCAUCUUUACGCACUUUCUUCUUGCUUCUCUUCAAAUGGUCUUGUUCCUCUUGAGAAGGCCGACAGUCAUGUAGAUCCCCUCUCGGGUGCCCAGCGCCAUCCAUGGUAGCUGAAGGUUGCAAAUGGCGGUCUAUAGCACAUAAAAUUUCUAAGGUUAAAGAGGCUAUUUCAAUAGCAAAUAAUGCAUGCUGGUCUAUUGGAGAACUUGCAGUUAAGAUUCCUAUAACUUGGCAUUGGAGUCUCAGCUCAAAUAUUCUACAGAUUUUGUUAUCUUAUA
Non-coding RNA from Arachis ipaensis, 381 nucleotides. Lineage: Eukaryota; Viridiplantae; Streptophyta; Magnoliopsida; Fabales; Fabaceae. The record is from RefSeq and is a predicted model, not a curated record.